RNAcentral lists this ribosomal RNA (1372 nucleotides) under uncultured bacterium. RNAcentral describes it as "bacterial SSU rRNA". It matches the Rfam family "Bacterial small subunit ribosomal RNA", at positions 28 to 1381 of the family's 1533-position model. The record is from RNAcentral.
GAUGAACGCUGGCGGCGUGCCUAAUACAUGCAAGUCGAGCGAACGGACGAGAAGCUUGCUUCUCUGAUGUUAGCGGCGGACGGGUGAGUAACACGUGGAUAACCUACCUAUAAGACUGGGAUAACUUCGGGAAACCGGAGCUAAUACCGGAUAAUAUUUUGAACCGCAUGGUUCAAAAGUGAAAGACGGUCUUGCUGUCACUUAUAGAUGGAUCCGCGCUGCAUUAGCUAGUUGGUAAGGUAACGGCUUACCAAGGCAACGAUGCAUAGCCGACCUGAGAGGGUGAUCGGCCACACUGGAACUGAGACACGGUCCAGACUCCUACGGGAGGCAGCAGUAGGGAAUCUUCCGCAAUGGGCGAAAGCCUGACGGAGCAACGCCGCGUGAGUGAUGAAGGUCUUCGGAUCGUAAAACUCUGUUAUUAGGGAAGAACAUAUGUGUAAGUAACUGUGCACAUCUUGACGGUACCUAAUCAGAAAGCCACGGCUAACUACGUGCCAGCAGCCGCGGUAAUACGUAGGUGGGCAGCGUUAUCCGAAAUUAUUGGGCGUAAAGCGCGCGUAGGCGGUUUUUUAAGUCUGAUGUGAAAGCCCACGGCUCAACCGUGGAGGGUCAUUGGAAACUGGAAAACUUGAGUGCAGAAGAGGAAAGUGGAAUUCCAUGUGUAGCGGUGAAAUGCGCAGAGAUAUGGAGGAACACCAGUGGCGAAGGCGACUUUCUGGUCUGUAACUGACGCUGAUGUGCGAAAGCGUGGGGAUCAAACAGGAUUAGAUACCCUGGUAGUCCACGCCGUAAACGAUGAGUGCUAAGUGUUAGGGGGUUUCCGCCCCUUAGUGCUGCAGCUAACGCAUUAAGCACUCCGCCUGGGGAGUACGACCGCAAGGUUGAAACUCAAAGGAAUUGACGGGGACCCGCACAAGCGGUGGAGCAUGUGGUUUAAUUCGAAGCAACGCGAAGAACCUUACCAAAUCUUGACAUCCUUUGACAACUCUAGAGAUAGAGCUUUCCCCUUCGGGGGACAAAGUGACAGGUGGUGCAUGGUUGUCGUCAGUUCGUGUUGUGAGAUGUUGGGUUAAGUCCCGCAACGAGCGCAACCCUCAAGCUUAGUUGCCAUCAUUAAGUUGGGCACUCUAAGUUGACUGCCGGUGACAAACCGGAGGAAGGUGGGGAUGACGUCAAAUCAUCAUGCCCCUUAUGAUUUGGGCUACACACGUGCUACAAUGGACAAUACAAAGGGCAGCGAAACCGUGAGGUCAAGCAAAUCCCAUAAAGUUGUUCUCAGUUCGGAUUGUAGUCUGCAACUCGACUACAUGAAGCUGGAAUCGCUAGUAAUCGUAGAUCAGCAUGCUACGGUGAAUACGUUCCCGGGUCU